RNAcentral lists this ribosomal RNA (496 nucleotides) under uncultured bacterium. RNAcentral's name for it is "partial 16S ribosomal RNA". It matches the Rfam family "Bacterial small subunit ribosomal RNA", at positions 29 to 507 of the family's 1533-position model. The record is from RNAcentral.
AUGAACGCUGGCGGCGUGCCUAAUACAUGCAAGUCGAGCGAACGGACGAGAAGCUUGCUUCUCUGGUGUUAGCGGCGGACGGGUGAGUAACACGUGGAUAACCUACCUAUAAGACUGGGAUAACUUCGGGAAACCGGAGCUAAUACCGGAUGAUAUUUUGAACCGCAUGGUUCAAAAGUGAAAGACGGUCUUGCUGUCACUUAUAGAUGGAUCCGCGCUGCAUUAGCUAGUUGGUAAGGUAACGGCUUACCAAGGCAACGAUGCAUAGCCGACCUGAGAGGGUGAUCGGCCACACUGGAACUGAGACACGGUCCAGACUCCUACGGGAGGCAGCAGUAGGGAAUCUUCCGCAAUGGGCGAAAGCCUGACGGAGCAACGCCGCGUGAGUGAUGAAGGUCUUCGGAUCGUAAAACUCUGUUAUUAGGGAAGAACAUAUGUGUAAGUAACUGUGCACAUCUUGACGGUACCUAAUCAGAAAGCCACGGCUAACUACGUG